RNAcentral lists this ribosomal RNA (404 nucleotides) under Actinomycetes bacterium. RNAcentral's name for it is "Actinobacteria bacterium partial 16S ribosomal RNA". It matches the Rfam family "Bacterial small subunit ribosomal RNA", at positions 355 to 776 of the family's 1533-position model. The record is from RNAcentral. Lineage: Bacteria; Bacillati; Actinomycetota; Actinomycetes.
UGGGGAAUAUUGGACAAUGGGCGCAAGCCUGAUCCAGCCAUGCCGCGUGAGUGAUGAAGGCCCUUGGGUUGUAAAGCUCUUUUACCGGUGAAGAUAUUGACGGUAACCGGAGAAGAAGCCCCGGCUAACUUCGUGCCAGCAGCCGCGGUAAUACGAAGGGGGUUAGCGUUGUUCGGAUUUACUGGGCGUAAAGCGGACGUAGGCGGACUUUUAAGUCAGGGGUGAAUUCCUGGGGCUCAACCCCGGAAUUGGCUUUGAUACUGGAAGUCUUGAGUAUGGUAGAGGUGAGUGGAAUUCCGAGUGUAGAGGUGAAAUUCGUAGAUAUUCGGAGAAACACCAGUGGCGAAGGCGGCUGACUGGACCAUUAAUGAAGCUGAGGUGGGAAAGCGUGGGGGGCAAACAGG